CCUACGGGAGGCAGCAGUGAGGAAUAUUGGUCAAUGGACGCAAGUCUGAACCAGCCAUGCCGCGUGCAGGAAGACGGCUCUAUGAGUUGUAAACUGCUUUUGUACGAGGGUAAACGCAGAUACGCGUAUCUGUCUGAAAGUAUCUUACGAAUAAGGAUCGGCUAAAUCCGUGCCAGCAGCCGCGGUAAUACGGAGGAUUCAAGCGUUAUCCGGAUUUAUUGGGUUUAACGGGUGCGUAGGCGGUCGGAUAAGUUAGAGGUGAAAUCCCGGGGCUCAACUUCGGAAUUGCCUCUGAUACUGUUCGGCUAGAGAGUAGUUGCGGUAGGCGGAAUGUAUGGUGUAGCGGGGAAAUGCUUAGAGAUCAUACAGAACACCGAUUGCGAAGGCAGCUUACCAAGCUACUUCUGACGUUGAGGCACGAAAGCGUGGGGAGCAAACAGGAUUAGAUACCCCAGUAGUC
RNAcentral lists this ribosomal RNA (460 nucleotides) under uncultured bacterium. Its description in RNAcentral is "partial 16S ribosomal RNA". It matches the Rfam family "Bacterial small subunit ribosomal RNA", at positions 338 to 795 of the family's 1533-position model. The record is from RNAcentral.